CUAGAUAUUUCCUGAAAACAGAAAGAAAACAUGUUCAACUUCACUUACCUCUUCGUUGUGGUCCUCGUGGCUAUUUUCGCAAUCUCCAGCGUAAUGGCGGCAACACCAGUCGCAUGUAUGAUUUCCUGUGAUAGCGCCAAUCCAAACUACGCUCGUGAAUGCGCCUUCUGUCUCUUGGCACAUCGUGACGAAGCUAAAUAAAUUAUAAGAACACCUCGAAUGUUUCAAGAUACAAUUUCCUGCAAAGUUUUAAGGUAAUUCUUCACAGUUCUUCGAUUAAAUAUACGCAUCUGCCGAUUUACAUUAUGUAAAUUUGUUAAAUAUUUCUUGAUUGUUAAUAAAUUAAUUAUUAGCUCCAGAAA
Molecule: long non-coding RNA, 362 nt
Organism: Dalotia coriaria
Lineage: Eukaryota; Metazoa; Arthropoda; Insecta; Coleoptera; Staphylinidae
Exons: 2
Source: RefSeq, a predicted model, not a curated record